CGGUUGAUCCUGCCGGACCCCACUGCUAUCGGGAUAGGACUAAGACAUGCUAGUCAGGCGCUCUCCAACCAAUGUUGGGAGUGCGGCGCACAGCUCAGUAACACGUGGCUAACCUGCCCUUGGGACGGGGACACCCCCGGGAAACUGGGGUUAAUCCCCGAUAGGUGAAGACCUCUGGAAUGAGUCUUCGCCCAAAAGGCGCCUACACUAUGCUUGUAGGCGCCGCCCAAGGAUGGGGCCGCGUCCGAUCAGGUUGUUGGUGAGGUAAUGGCUCACCAAGCCUUUUACCGGUGCGGGCCGUGGGAGCGGGAGCCCGGAGAUGGGCACUGAGACAAGGGCCCAGGCCCUACGGGGCGCAGCAGUCGCGAAAACUUUGCAAUACACGAAAGUGUGACAGGGCUAUCCCGAGUGCCAUCCGCUGAGGAAGGCUUUUACCCAGUGUAGAAAGCUGGGAGAAUAAGGAGAGGGCAAGACUGGUGUCAGCCGCCGCGGUAAUACCAGCUCUCCGAGUGGUGUGGAUGUUUAUUGGGCCUAAAGCAUCCGUAGCUGGCUGAGCAAGUCCCCUGUUAAAUCCACCGAUUCAAUCGUUGGUGUGCGGGGGAUACUGUUCGGCUAGGGGACGGGAGAGGCCGACGGUAUUUCCGGGGUAGGGGUGAAAUCCUAUAAUCCCGGGAAGACCACCAGUGGCGAAGGCUGUCGGCUAGAACGCGCCCAACGGUGAGGGAUGAAAGCUGGGGGAGCGAACCGGAUUAGAUACCCGGGUAGUCCCAGCUGUAAACGAUGCAGGCUAGGUGUUUGGGCGGCCACGUGCCGCUCUAGUGCCGCAAGGAAGUUGUUAAGCCUGCCGCCUGGGGAGUACGGCCGCAAGGCUGAAACUUAAAGGAAUUGGCGGGGGAGCAC
RNAcentral lists this ribosomal RNA (900 nucleotides) under uncultured archaeon. RNAcentral describes it as "bacterial SSU rRNA". It matches the Rfam family "Archaeal small subunit ribosomal RNA", at positions 5 to 879 of the family's 1478-position model. The record is from RNAcentral.